UGAGAGGAGCUUGCUUUUCUUAGCUUAGUGGCGAACGGGUGAGUAACGCGUGAGUAACCUGCCCUGGAGUGGGGGACAACAGUUGGAAACGACUGCUAAUACCGCAUAAGCCCACGGAUCCGCAUGGAUCUGCGGGAAAAGGAGCAAUCCGCUUUGAGAUGGCCUCGCGUCCGAUUAGCUAGUUGGUGAGGUAACGGCCCACCAAGGCAACGAUCAGUAGCCGGACUGAGAGGUUGAACGGCCACAUUGGGACUGAGACACGGCCCAAACUCC
This 273-nucleotide ribosomal RNA is filed under the name uncultured Oscillospiraceae bacterium. Its description in RNAcentral is "partial 16S ribosomal RNA". It matches the Rfam family "Bacterial small subunit ribosomal RNA", at positions 70 to 339 of the family's 1533-position model. Lineage: Bacteria; Bacillati; Bacillota; Clostridia; Eubacteriales; Oscillospiraceae. The record is from RNAcentral.